This 429-nucleotide ribosomal RNA is filed under the name bacterium. RNAcentral's name for it is "partial 16S ribosomal RNA". It matches the Rfam family "Bacterial small subunit ribosomal RNA", at positions 355 to 776 of the family's 1533-position model. The record is from RNAcentral.
UAGGGAAUCUUCCACAAUGGACGCAAGUCUGAUGGAGCAACGCCGCGUGAGUGAAGAAGGCUUUCGGAUCGUAAAGCUCUGUUGUUGGUGAAGAAGGAUAGAGGCAGUAACUGGUCUUUAUUUGACGGUAAUCAACCAGAAAGUCACGGCUAACUACGUGCCAGCAGCCGCGGUAAUACGUAGGUGGCAAGCGUUGUCCGGAUUCAUUGGGCGUAAAGCGAGCGCAGGCGGAAUGAUAAGUCUGAUGUUAAAGCCCACGGCUCAACCGUGGAACUGCAUCUGAAACUGUCAUUCUUGAGUGCAGAAGAGGAGAGUGGAAUUCCAUGUGUAGCGGUGGAAUGCGUAGAUAUAUGGAAGAACACCAGUGGCGAAGGCGGCUCUCUGGUCUGCAACUGACGCUGAGGCUCGAAAGCAUGGGUAGCGAACAGG